GACGAACGCUGGCGGUAUGCUUAACACAUGCAAGUCGAACGAGAAAGUUUUGAAUGAUCCUUCGAGUGAAAUUAGAACUGGAAAGUGGCGAACGGGUGAGUAACGCGUGGGUAACCUGCCCUAUGGAAAGGGAAUAGCCUCGGGAAACUGGGAGUAAAGCCUUAUAUUAUGGUUUUGUCGCAUGGCGAGAUCAUGAAAACUCCGGUAGCCAUAGGAUGGACCCGCGUCCCAUUAGCUAGUUGGUGAGAUAACAGCCCACCAAGGCGACGAUGGGUAACCGGUCUGAGAGGGCGAACGGUCACACUGGGAACUGAGACACGGGUCCAGACCCCCUACGGGAGGCAGCAGUGGGGGAAUAUUGCGCAAUGGGGGGCAAACCCUGACGCAGCAAUACCGCGUGAGUGAAGAAGGUUUUUCGGAUCGUAAAAGCUACUGUUAUU
Molecule: ribosomal RNA, 440 nt
Filed under: uncultured bacterium
Lineage: Bacteria
Description: bacterial SSU rRNA
Rfam family: Bacterial small subunit ribosomal RNA
Source: RNAcentral